This 77-nucleotide transfer RNA is filed under the name Candidatus Pelagibacteraceae bacterium. RNAcentral describes it as "tRNA-Arg". It matches the Rfam family "tRNA". Rfam says of the family: Transfer RNA (tRNA) molecules are approximately 80 nucleotides in length. Their secondary structure includes four short double-helical elements and three loops (D, anti-codon, and T loops). Further hydrogen bonds mediate the characteristic L-shaped molecular structure. tRNAs have two regions of fundamental functional importance: the anti-codon, which is responsible for specific mRNA codon recognition, and the 3' end, to which the tRNAs corresponding amino acid is attached (by aminoacyl-tRNA synthetases). tRNAs cope with the degeneracy of the genetic code in two manners: having more than one tRNA (with a specific anti-codon) for a particular amino acid; and 'wobble' base-pairing, i.e. permitting non-standard base-pairing at the 3rd anti-codon position. Lineage: Bacteria; Pseudomonadati; Pseudomonadota; Alphaproteobacteria; Candidatus Pelagibacterales; Candidatus Pelagibacteraceae. The record is from RNAcentral.
GUGUCCGUAGCUCAGUAGGAUAGAGCAUCAGAUUCCUAAUCUGGGGGUCGUGAGUUCGAAUCUCGCCGGGCACGCCA